GGUCCGCCUGCCCUGUGACUAUUAGUUUAACGGCCGGGGUAUUUUGACCGCGCGUAGGUAGCGCAAUCACUUGUCUCUUAAAUGGGGACCUGUAUGAAUUGCAUAACGGGGGCUUAGCUGUCUCCCUCCCUGAGGUAAUGAAAUUGAUCUUUCCGUGCAGAAGCGGGAAUAGACACAUAAGACGAGAAGACCCUAUGAAGCUUUAGACGUAAGGUAGCCCAGACUACAAAGGCCCUCCAAUAAGUGAACAAACCAAAAGGUUUUCUACCCCGAUGUCUUUGGUUGGGGCGACCGCGGCGAAAGACAAAACCCCCAUGUGGAACGGGAGUACAACUCCUUAAACUCAGAGCAGCAGCUCUAAGAAACUAGAUUUUUGACCUAAAGAUCCGGCAAUGCCGAUUAACGGACCGAGUUACUCUAGGGAUAUCAGCGCAAUCCCCUUUUAGAGACCAUAUCAACAAGGGGGUUUUCGACCUCGAUGUUGGAUCAGGACAUCCUAUUGGUGCAGCAUCUAUUAAGGGUUCGUUUGUUCA
This 533-nucleotide ribosomal RNA is filed under the name Trematomus newnesi (dusky notothen). Its description in RNAcentral is "partial 16S ribosomal RNA". It matches the Rfam family "Bacterial large subunit ribosomal RNA", at positions 1852 to 2583 of the family's 2925-position model. The record is from RNAcentral. Lineage: Eukaryota; Metazoa; Chordata; Actinopteri; Perciformes; Nototheniidae.